GAGUUUGAUCAUGGCUCAGGAUGAACGCUGGCGGCGUGCUUAACACAUGCAAGUCGAACGAACCUUCGGGUUAGUGGCGGACGGGUGAGUAACGCGUGGGAAUCUGCCCUCAGGAGGGGGAUAACAGCUGGAAACGGCUGCUAAUACCCCAUAUGCCGCGAGGUGAAAUGAAUUUCGCCUGAGGAUGAGCUCGCGUCUGAUUAGCUAGUUGGUGUAGGUAAUGGCUCACCAAGGCAUCGAUCAGUAGCUGGUCUGAGAGGAUGAUCAGCCACACUGGGACUGAGACACGGCCCAGACUCCUACGGGAGGCAGCAGUGGGGAAUUUUCCGCAAUGGGCGAAAGCCUGACGGAGCAACGCCGCGUGAGGGAUGAAGGCCUCUGGGCUGUAAACCUCUUUUAUCAAGGAAGAAGAUCUGACGGUACUUGAUGAAUAAGCCACGGCUAAUUCCGUGCCAGCAGCCGCGGUAAUACGGGAGUGGCAAGCGUUAUCCGGAAUUAUUGGGCGUAAAGCGUCCGCAGGCGGCCCUUCAAGUCUGCUGUUAAAAAGUGGAGCUUAACUCCAUCAUGGCAGUGGAAACUGAGGGGCUUGAGUGUGGUAGGGGCAGAGGGAAUUCCCGGUGUAGCGGUGAAAUGCGUAGAUAUCGGGAAGAACACCAGUGGCGAAGGCGCUCUGCUGGGCCAUCACUGACGCUCAUGGACGAAAGCCAGGGGAGCGAAAGGGAUUAGAUACCCCUGUAGUCCUGGCCGUAAACGAUGAACACUAGGUGUCGGGGGAAUCGACCCCCUCGGUGUCGUAGCCAACGCGUUAAGUGUUCCGCCUGGGGAGUACGCACGCAAGUGUGAAACUCAAAGGAAUUGACGGGGGCCCGCACAAGCGGUGGAGUAUGUGGUUUAAUUCGAUGCAACGCGAAGAACCUUACCAGGGUUUGACAUCCUGCGAAUCUCUUGGAAACGAGAGAGUGCCUUCGGGAGCGCAGUGACAGGUGGUGCAUGGCUGUCGUCAGCUCGUGUCGUGAGAUGUUGGGUUAAGUCCCGCAACGAGCGCAACCCACGUCUUUAGUUGCCAGCAUUUAGUUGGGCACUCUAGAGAGACCGCCGGUGAUAAACCGGAGGAAGGUGUGGAUGACGUCAAGUCAUCAUGCCCCUUACAUCCUGGGCUACACACGUACUACAAUGCUACGGACAAAGGGCAGCAAGUUCGCGAGGACAAGCAAAUCCCAUAAACCGUGGCUCAGUUCAGAUCGUAGGCUGCAACUCGCCUACGUGAAGGAGGAAUCGCUAGUAAUCGCAGGUCAGCAUACUGCGGUGAAUACGUUCCCGGGCCUUGUACACACCGCUCGUCACACCAUGGAAGUUGGCCACGCCCGAAGCCGUUACUCCAACCCUUGUGGAGGAGGACGUCGAAGGUGGGGCUGAUGACUGGGGUGAAGUCGUAACAAGGUAACC
RNAcentral lists this ribosomal RNA (1446 nucleotides) under uncultured marine cyanobacterium. Its description in RNAcentral is "bacterial SSU rRNA". It matches the Rfam family "Bacterial small subunit ribosomal RNA". Lineage: Bacteria; Bacillati; Cyanobacteriota. The record is from RNAcentral.